This 534-nucleotide long non-coding RNA is filed under the name Numida meleagris (helmeted guineafowl). RNAcentral describes it as "lncRNA (ENSNMEG00000002689.1)". The record is from RNAcentral. Lineage: Eukaryota; Metazoa; Chordata; Aves; Galliformes; Numididae.
CCCCCCCAUGUAAGAGAACAUCGGGGACGCCCCACACUUGGGGGUCUGCCCCACACCUGGAGGUCCCACCCCACACUUGUGGGUCUGCCCCAUAGAUCCAGAGCUUGCCCCAUAGCUAUGUACCCACCCCAUAAGCCCAUUAGGACCCCAUGUAACAGCCCAACAGUUACGGGACCCCCACUUGUGGGUCUGCCCCACACUUGGGGGUCCCACCCCACAUUUGUAGGUCUCGCCCCACACUUGUGGGUCUGCCCCAUAGAUCUGGAGCCCCUCCCCCCUCUAUAAAUCCCUUAGGACCCCAUGGAACAGCCCAACGGUUACAGGACCCCCCAUGUGUGGGUCUGCCCCACACCUGGAGGUCCCACCCCACACUUGUGGGUCUGCCCCAUAGAUCCGGAGCUUGCCCCAUAGCUAUGUACCCGCCCCAUAAGCCCAUUAGGACCCCAUGUAACAGCCCAACAGUUACGGGACCCCCACUUAUAGGUCCUGCCCCACACUUGGGGGUCCCGGCCCCACACUUGUGGGUCUGCCCCA